CGGCGGCGAUCGGAGACCUCCCGUUUCUCGAGUACCUCAAGUUUCACAAAUCCGGGGUCACCGGAGAAAUCCCGGAAUCCAUAACAAAGCUUUCUCACCUUCAGUUUCUCGAUCUCCGGUGGAAUUAUCUUACAGGCCCUGUUCCUUCAUUCCUCGGCAAACUCAAGAAACUGACGUACAUUGCGUUGUCGUUCAACAAUCUCACCGGCUCGAUUCCAGCUUCACUUUCCGAGAUCCAGAACCUUGGAAGACUCCGUUUGGAUCGGAACAAGCUCACCGGAGGAAUCCCGGAGUCGUUUGCCGAUUUCCGGCAGCAGGAUUUCUCUCUCUACUUGUCCCAUAAUCAGCUGACGGGGAAUAUUCCGGCGAAGCUGGGAUAUGCUAAUUUUACGUGGAUCGAUGUUUCUAGAAACAGGCUUCAAGGUGACGUGUCGUUCUUGUUCGGGAAGAACAAGAGUUUAGGAGUGGCUGAUUUUUCGAGGAAUAUGUUGGAGUUCGAUUUGUCCGAGGUGGAGUUUCCGGCGAGUUUGACGGAUCUGGAUUUGAAUCAUAACAGGAUUACGGGCAGCCUGCCCGAGGGAUUGGCUGAGUUGGGCAGCACUCUUAACUCGCUCAACGUGAGUUACAAUCGGCUUUGCGGUAGGAUUCCGGCGGGUGGCAGGUUGCCGGAUUUUGAUUAUACGGCGUAUUUUCAUAACAGAUGUCUGUGCGGUGCUCCUUUGCCAAAAUGCAAAUGAUUUAUUUCUGUAUUCUGUUUGCAAAUAUUUUUAAAUGGGUAAAAUACAAUUUUAGUCCCUCAUAUUUGCACUGAUUUCACAUUUGGUCCCUAUGUUCACAAACAAAACACAUUUGAUCCCUUAUGUUUCAAAACUUCAACACUUUUAGUCACUUCCGUUAAUUUUUCGUUAAGACUAACGGAAUCAAGCAUGUGAUCAUCACUGCCUUAACUGACAGAGUAUCGGUAAAUUGAAGAAAUCAAGAAAAUGACAAAAAAUGUUAAAUUAUUGAAACAUGAGAGACUAAAUGAGUUUGUUGUGAAAAUGGAGACCAAAUGUGAAAUCAGUGCAAAUAUGAGGAACCAAACUAUGAUUUCCCCAUUUUUUAAUAGGGUAAAUUAUACGGUAAGGUAAAAUUACAAGAAAAACCCUUCAUGUUUGGGUAAUUACAACCACCCCUCAAUUAUAAAAUUUUCUUACAUGUACACCCUUUUGGUGUCAAAUUUAAUAGAAUAUUCUAAAUUCCGUGAAAUAUGCUCCACUUUGUAGUCGUUUUGUGCACAAAUGCAGUUUAAGAUACACCACAAUUUGAUAUUUACACGUACACAUCUUAUGAUCAUCUUGCUUCAAAAUGUGGAGCUCGAAUGACGGCUACAAACGGAAGAAUAUUCCACUAAAUUUGACACUAUAGGACCAAUGUGUAAGAACAUUCAUAAUCGAUAGAUAAUUGUAAUUAUCAAAAGAUAAGAAAUUUUUUCGUAAUUCGAACUCACCUCGGCGCGGUGGUAAUUUACCCUUUAAAGUUUAAACUAAUAUCUAGAAAUAGAUUCUUCACUAUGAGUUGGAAGGAAAAAGACAAGAAGAUGACCAAAUACUAAUAUGCAAUUAAUCAUUAAAAUCUGUUUAAUUAAAAUUAAUCAUUGAAAUCAGUGAGAGUUGACCAAGUGUAUUAAUCCUCCUCCAACACUUCCAUUACUCAGAAAUCAGAAACCAUGGCUGAAUACAUCAUCUUCUUCCUCAUAUGGCUAAUCUCCACCAUCAUAAUCCGAACCCUAAUCAAGCAACGAUCUUCUACUUCUAGAAGCCUUCCCCCAACGCCACGUGGCUUACCGAUCAUCGGCCAUCUCCAUCUUCUAUCCCCAAUACCCCACCAAGCCCUAGCGAAGCUCUCGUCCAAACACGGGCCGUUAAUCCACAUCCGCCUCGGAUCUUACCCAUGCCUCAUCGUUUCAUCGCCGGAGAUCUCGAAAGAAAUCCUCAAAACACACGAGAGCUCCUGCUCCAAUCGCCCCCAAAACGCCGCCAUCGAUUACCUCACCUACGGCUCACAGGAUUUCACCUUCGCACCUUACGGCCCGUACUGGAAGUUCAUGAAGAAGCUCUGCAUGUCCCGCCUCCUCGGCGGGCCCACCCUCGACCUCCUCCGGCCCGUUCGGGCCCACGAGAUCAAUCGGCUCGUUCAGUUCGUGGCGAGCAAGGCGGGAAACGGCGAAUCGGUGGAUAUUGGAGGUGAGUUUGUGAGAACGACGAAUAAUGUGAUAUCGAGUAUGAUCAUGAGUCAACGGUGCUCCGGCGACGGAGAAGGUGGAGCUGAGGCGGUGAGGAAACUGGUUCAGGAUAUUGCGGAGCUCACGGGUAGGUUUAAUGUGUCGGAUUAUAUUUGGUUCUGUAAAAAUUUGGAUUUGCAGGGGUUUGGUAAGAGGAUGAAAGAUGUCCGCGACAUGUUCGAUGAAAUGACUGAGAGAAUUAUCGACGAGCAUCUCGUUCGAAGGAGGGAAUAUUCGCAGGAAUCUGUGAAGGAUCUUCUUCAUAUAUUACUUGAUAUAGCUGAAGAUUCAGCUUCUGAAUUUAAGCUAACAAGACAGAAUAUCAAGGCUUUUAUCCUGGUAAUAAUUAAUCUUCUGUUUAUUCAUUCUUCUGUAUUUUUGAACAAUUAUGGUUGCCUCCCUGCACUUUGAUCUAAUUACAAAAAACCCUCUUGUUUUAAAAAUUACAAUUACCCCCUCUGAGGUUAGAAGUUGCAUAAAAUUGAUGUUAGUAGUAACGAAAUCUUUGAGUUGCCAUGAAUAGUUUCUUAUGAAUUCCAAAUUUAACCAUACCAUAGGGGUGUAAUUGUAAGAUUUUAUGGAAAUAUAAGGGACCAAAUGUGUUUUUUGUGAACACGAGGGGCCAAAUGUAUAAUACGUGCAAACUUGAAGGAUUAAAAUUGUAAUUUUCCUCUUAUUCUUCUCUUUUUUUUUUGUAACAAUUACGUUUACCUCCCCUGCGCUUUGAUCUAAUUACAAAAAUUCUCUUGUUUCAAAAAUUACAAUUACCCCCGAGGUUAGUAGUUGCAUAAUAUUGACCCCAUACGGUGUUAGUAGUAACGAAAUCUUUGAGUUCCCAUGGACAGUCUCUUAAGAAUUCCAAGUUUAACUAUACCAUAGAGGUGUAAUUGUAAGAUUUUAUAUUUAACAGGGGGCUAAAUGCAACAUUUGUAAUGGUUGUUCAAUUAAUUUUGUCUACAAAAUAAUGCAGAUAUAUCUUUUAAAUUUGUACACAAAAUAAACAAAAACAUUUCGUAAUUUAUAAAACAUGAGGGUCUUUUUGUAAUUAGAUCAAAUCUGAGGGGAUUUAACCGUAAUUUACGCUAAUUUGUAUGAUCUUGCCAGGACUUAUUUACUGCUGGAACAGAUACAUCAGCAAUCACACUACAAUGGGCACUCUCAGAGCUAAUAAAUCACCCUGAAAUAAUGCAAAAAGCGGCUCAAGAAAUCGACUCUCUCAUAGGAAACAACGAAAGACUCGUCCAAGAAUCGGAUAUUACUAAUUUGCCCUACCUUCAAGCCAUCGUAAAAGAAACACUAAGGCUCCACCCAACGGCCCCACUAAUCGGUAGACAGUCGAGCGAAGACUGCACUAUUGCAGGGUACUGUAUUCCGGCCGAGACUCGAUUAUUCGUGAACGUGUGGGCCAUAGGAAGAAACCCCGAUUAUUGGGAAAACGCGCUCGAGUUUAUUCCGGAGAGGUUUAUUUCGUCUGAGUUGGAUUUGAGAGGGCAGCAUUAUCAUUUCUUGCCGUUUGGGAGCGGUAGAAGAGGAUGUCCUGGAAUAUCAUUGGCUUUGCAGGUUGUUCAGACAACCUUAGCUGCGAUGAUUCAGUGCUUUGAGUGGAAAGCCGACGGAGUUAGUACUCGUGUGGAUAUGGAAGAAGGGAUCGGAAUGACAUUGCCGAGGGCUAAUCCUCUCGUUUGUUCUCCGGUUUUGAGGCUCAAUUCCAUUCCAUCUAAUAUUUUUUUUUAGUUCAAUUGCUCAAUAUAUAUAUAUAUAUAUAUAUAUAUAUAUAUAUAUAUAUAUAUAUAUAUAUAUAUAUUCUUACUUUUUUUAUUUGAGUACCUCAAUUAGUUUCACAAAUCCGGAGAAAUCCCGGAGUCCAUAAAAUGUUCAAGCUAGCUUGUAUAUAUAUAUUUAUCGAGUUUUUAAAAUUGUAUUUGGACUUGGUAAUGUUUAACGACCGACUUGAGCUCCAACAAGCUUAAAUCGAGUCCGAAUAAGAACCGAGCUCGAGCACUUUCAAUUUUUGUUCAUAUUUUUUCUAAUUAAAUUGGAGCUCGAACUUAAUGCUAACAAAAAUAGAUCUUCAUGCUUGGUUCGUGAGUUUGACAAAUUGAACUUAAACGAAACUUUUAAAGAAUAACCUCGAAUCGAAUUAUAGCCUAUCGGGUAAAUUAGUUUAAUUUUCGUGUCAGCCCCUAACUAGUGGAUACAAUGUUAAUUUUAGUUUUGUUACACAUAAAAUAAAUCAAACUUGAUAUCCAAAAAUUAUAUUUUCUAUAUAAUAUGAUUGUAAAUUAAAAAAAAAAAAAAAAAAAAAAAAAACAAACAAACAAUAUUGAGUAAUUGUCACGUGUACCGUUAUAUAGUUUGUUUUAGUGCACACCUGCUUAUUCUCAUAGGCUCAACCACACCGGAUUACAGCCCAAUUGAACUUCUCCAACUAUAAAACCGUCCCGCUCACAGAGCAAAGCAUGUUUCUUCUAUUGCGUUUUUCAUUCUCAGAUUUUUUAUUCUCUCUGUGAAAUCUAACCGCCUCUUUCUCAUUCAAAAAUUCAGCUCGUAUCUGCGUUCUCUGCCGUUACAAGGUAUGAUUAGAUUAUUCGCUAUAUGUAUACAUUGUACGUAUAUACCAUUGUAUGCGUAGUUACUGUGUGAGAAAGUGUGUUCGCGAGGGAAAAUCAAUUACGCCUUUGAGGAAUUUAGGGCUAUCGGACCAGCUGUUUUUUACUGUUUAAGCGUGUAGUUGUAUGUGUUUUGAAAACGGAAAUGAAAAUUAGCUGCUGAAAUUUCAUGUUUGUGCGUGUAAUUGUAUGUGUUCUGAGAACGAAAAUGAAAAUUAGCUGCUGGAAUUUCAUGUUUGUGCGUGAAAUUUUGUGUGUGUUCUGAGAACGAAAAUGAAAAUUAGCUGCUGGAAUUUCAUGUUUGUGCGUGAAAUUGUAUGUGUUCUGAGAACGAAAAUGAAAAUUAGCUGCUGGAAUUUCAUGUUUGUACGUGAAAUUGUGUGUGUUCUGAGAACGAAAAUGAGAAUUAGCUGCUGAAAUUCCAUGUUUGUACGUGAAAUUGUGUGUGUUCUGAGAACGAAAAUGAAAAUUACCAGCUGAAAUUUCAUGUUUGUACGUGAAAUUGUGUGUGUUCUGAGAACGAAAAUGAGAAUUAGCUGCUGAAAUUUCACGUUUGUGCGUGAAAUUGUGUGUGUUCUGAGAAGGAAAAUGAAAUUUCAUGUUCGUGCGCCUUUGUGUGCGUGUGUGUAAUGUGAUUUUUCUUCUCUUAUUUUGAAGCAACAAUGGUCAAUUGGCUUCGAAAGUUUUUAGUCUGCUUGGGUAAAGCCCAUGAUGCCAAUGCCGGUACCCGUGCCGAGGACUAUCCGGAGAAUAUAUGGUCGGAGGACCUUGUGAGGCACUCCUCCGGAGAAUGCUCUAUGGCGAUGGUUAGAGGGAACAAACAUGUAGAGGACCGUUGCCAUGUAGUGGUCACCCCAGCCGGUACAUUCUUUGGUGUUUACGACGGCCAUGGUGGCUCCGCCGCCUCUCAAUUCGUGCUUGACCAUUUACAUACUAAUUUCACAAGUAGCGUAUUUCUCCCCCCCCUUUUUUUUUCUUUUUUUAUUUAUUAAACGUUGUUUACUUAGACGCGAUUUAAAAAACUUUUUUUCUUGUUUUUUCUUUUUGGUGGUAGGGAUUUUACAAGAAGCAGGGGGGGUUAUGUCUGAUGAAGUCUUGCGGAAUGCAUUUUCUGAAACAGAAAAUGAGUUCAUCGAGUUGAUUCGAAAACAAUUUAGCCUAAUGCCAGCAAUCGCAGCCAUUGGAUCAUGCGUUUUAGUUGGGGUGCUUUGGGGGAAGGAUCUCUAUUUGGCCAACUUAGGUGACUGUCGAGCAGUGAUGGGUGGUUUAAUGGAAGGACAAAUUUGGAGGGAACGUGCGAUGACUGUUGACCAUAAUGCUAGGUCUUCAGAUAUAAGAAAAGAAUUACAAGAAGCGCACCCUGAUGUUCCGGACGUUGUUCUUAAGAGAGGCGUUUGGCGGGUCAAGGGCAACCUUCAGGUAGGCGAUGAAUUUAGUUUUUUUAAUUUCUUGUUCUUUUAGCUAAUCUAAUUUGCUUGAAUAUUAUUUCUGUGUUUCUUGCUUCUUGGACUUUUGCAAGUGACUUUAUUAAGAUUUGUAGUUAUUUUUACAUUCUUUAUGAAAGGUACAUAUUUGAAUUGUUAACCAGAUGAAUUCUAUUAAAACUAUUAUCCAUUGGGGAUGCUUACCUCAAAUUUCCGGAAUUUGACGAACGAGUGAUAAUAUUUUGUUUUUUUGGUGAAAUUAGGUGACGAGAUCCAUUGGGGAUGCUUACCUCAAAUUUCCGGAAUUCUCCUUGAACACUAUUUCAAGAUAUAAGAUCAAGAAGCCUAUUGUUCGACCAGUGGUGAGAGCUGAUCCAGAGAUAACGAAGACAGUUUUACACAAAGAUGAUAGAUUUAUUGUCUUCGCGACUGACGGGCUGUGGGAUGAAUUAUCCAAUACAGCGGUGGAUCUGAUAGUUAGAGGGGAGCCUCGACCGGUAUGUGAUCGUAUUUGAAUACCAAUACUAAUUAUGAAUAUUAUAAUUACUUGUUUGGUUUUUUUUUUAAUUGGUGUUUUAAGGGGAUUGCAAGGACACUCAUCAGAAGGGCACUAGAAGUAGCAGCGACCAAGAAUAAGAUGACGUACGAGCAGUUAAAGAGGCUGGACGAGGGCCAGCGUGACAGAAGACCAAUCCACGAUGACAUGACCGUCAUCGUGGUGUUUUUCGAUCAAGCAGCACCGGGUGAGGAACCCAUGGUAAGCUAUACCUUGGGUAAUGCUGGACCAUCAAGCAACCCCGGUGCUGGACCAUCUAGCAGCUCCACUGGAGCAUCAAGCAGCUCCAAUGCUGGACCGUCAAGCAACCCCGGUGCUGGAGCAUCAAGCAGCUCCAAUGCUGGAGCAUCAAGCAGCUCCAAUGCUGGACCAUCAAGCAACCCCGGUGCUGGAGCAUCAAGCAGCUCCAAUGCUGGAGCAUCAAGCAGCUCUAAUGCUGGAGCAUCAAGCAGCUCCAAUGCUGGACCAUCAAGCAACCCCGGUGCUGGACCAUCAAGCAGCUCCAAUGCUGGAGCAUCAAGCAGCUCCAAUGCUGGUAUAGUUCUUUAUUAUCACUAAUAAGCUUAUCCCAAUUAUGCUAAUUUUCUUUGCAUCACUAUUAUGGUUACAACCUGAUGAAACUGAGUGUAAACUCUGACGUUGAUUACUAUGAUUGGCACUUUUUUUUCAGAAAAAAAAAUCUUGUUAAUUAGUAGACAUUUUGAAAUUUGAAUUACAUUAAGUGCAGCCUGUUGAUUUAGUCCAAAAGAAAGAACUAAUAUACAACAAAUUCAAUUUUGUAUUUGCAGUUCAAGCUGUUCGUGGUAUCUACAGGGCCGAGCAGCUGGUACACUGGAAACCCGAAGCUUGGAUCGGAGUUCAGUGCUUCAAAUCAUCCAUAAUCAACCUGUAAUUUCUUGGUUAUUUUAUUUCAUAUUAUAAAUUCAUUUCUUAAACUAAGAGCAAUAUUCACAGUCAACCUCUUCCUUUUUCAGUCAACUUCACGGGCUGGAGCUCACUGGAAAUCUUGGGUAUCAGCUGUCCAAUCUAAAAACUUUGAAGCAUAUGUAAGAAAUUGUGGUUUAUGUAAUUUUUUUUAUUAAUUCAUUAGUAUUUUGAUAAUGUUCUUGUGACCGAUUUUGUGUAAACUUCAUUUUGACCGGGACCUUAGUUCAAAUAACAUUGAAGGCUCAAUCCCGUAUUGUUUACCUCCAAACCUCACACACUUGUAAGGACACUACUCCACUUAGCUUGUUGCCUUUUAGAAUUAAUAAUUCUAACUUCACAUGCUUUUGCAAGAAUUAGCUAUUCUAAGUCGUACUGUACUUAUUGCCUUGUGGAUCUAAAAGGAAUGUAAUCUAAAUCAGUAAACCAUAUUCCUUAUUUAGUAGGCAUUAUUUUUACUGAUGAUUCACAUAUGCAGUUUUACUGCUUGUCAACUUAUCAUUAGUGGUUGAAGAUGAAUAGGAUUUCAGCUCUUGAUUUGCCCCUUUAUCUGCUUAUUAUGCUCCUCUUUUGGAUCAAAGACUCAACCAAGUUUUCUUGGCUUUUUUUUUUUCCCAUUUUCACCAUUGCUGAGAAUACAAUCUCAAUCGCCUUUCAUCAGGGAUUUGUCGUUUAAUAACUUCACUCGAGAUCUGCCCACCUCAUUCAGAUCACUGACAAACCUUACAGGCUUGUGAGUUUUCGUCUUCUUCUUCAACAUCCAAUGACAAGAGUUAUAAUUUUCAGGUUUAUGCAGCGCAAUCAACUCACUGGAUCAGUGUUUUUCUUAUCCAAUCUCUCGCUUACUGACUUGUACGUCUUCUCCAAUAAAAUUUCAUAAUUUAUUCCAAUCUAGUUCAGUUGUUCAUGUACUCACCUACUCCGAUUUUCAGGAAUAUCGAAGACAACCAUUUCAGUGAUGUUAUUCCUGAAAACUUUCAAGCUAUAGCCGCCUUGAGGUAAUCCAUUUAUAAGCUUCUUCAUUCACCUCAUAAAUUUGAAACAUUAUAUUUAUUCAGGAUUGGUGGGGUCGCUCUCGUUGCAUCAUUUUUGGCUAUUGCACUUGUGGUGCAAAAACAUCGCUCACGUGGGAAAACACUCGGCAGCUUGGAGAGCAGUGAAAAUUCAGUGAGAUCUCUACCAAUCGGCACAGUCCAAGGUGAAACACAUGUCGUUUUAGCAAAACAUAAAACCAACUGAUUAAAAUGUCUUGUGGAUAUUUAUUUAUAUUCUUCUGAAAACUGUACACAAUAUAGCAGAGCUUCAAAUAACAACAAACAGCUUGGGUGAAGAAAACUUCCUCUGUGAGGGUUCCCUUGGUUCUGUUUACAGAGCAGAGUUUCUAGAUGCAUAUCAAUUGUUGACGAGAUGGGCUUCAUCGAAACCUCAUGACAGCACAUCAUUAGGACAGAUGGUUGAUCCAGCAGCUAUUAUAAGAACAAUCUCCUCCAAAUCUGCCUCUCGUUUCGCUGACAUCAUAUCUCCGUGUAUACAGGUACCUCAAAAAAAACGCCAUUAAGUAGGAUUACCAUAUUGUUUCAUUACAUAAAAUUUUACUGUCUGAAAAUGCACCAUCACAGCCUAAACAAGAAUUCAAGCCCACCAUGCCUGAAGUUGCCGAGUCUUUGAUGCAAAAGCCGAUUGCCCCAGAUGGCCCUGAAGUUGCUGACUCUUUCGAUCGAUCUCUUAGGUCAACCAAUACCCGUUUCUGUGGAUCACCUACUCUAAGCUGCUACUCUGUUUAAGAGUCAGUUGUAAAAUUAGGGUACAAGUGUUAAUAACACAUUGGAAUGUAAAACGGCAUUUCUAAGUAAAUAGACAAACACUUUGUCACACCCAAUUCUUUAGGUGGAGAUAAUGCAGAUGUUGAUUGAUAAUGUCUCAUUCAGUAACAUACAAAAACAAAAGUUUAAUGCAAAUGUUGAAACAAUUUUGUUUGCUAUUGUUCAGUACAAGGAACGUCGAUCUAGUUAUACAUUUAAGCCACUACUGAGCAAUGAGUUAUUGAUAUAGGUCUUCCAUCGAACAGUUUCGAAAGUCUCUUCAACUCUCUCGUUUUUCACUAGGGCUGCUUACUGCAAAAUUGAAAUUUUCUUAGAAAGUCAACUUUGAAAGUCAAACCCUAAUAUAGAUUCCACUUUCGUAACUUAACAUAAGAUGAAAUCACUUGAGUCGGGGCUUCGGAAGACAAUGAAUUUUGCAGCUCCACACGUUUGUUAUAUAUAUAUGUCUUUUAACUUCACCUCAUGGUGCUUCUUUUAACUUCACCUCAGUGUGCUUCUUUUCUUGUGAUAUGGGCUUUAGCAUGAAAGAUAACCUCAGUAAAAAUAAACGUAAUAAAGUAAGUUCACCUCUUAACUGCAGGGAGCCAUUUAACAAAUCCCAUUUCUUUUUUUCUUUUUUUUUUCUUUUUUUAUUACUAUGGUUUUUGGUAAUUCAUUUGCUCAUUGUUUAAUUCUGCACUGCAGUAGAGGAGGAGGAGGAGGAUGAUAUAUCAAGACGGAUGCAGUUUAAUUGGUUGAAAAAACUAAUGGCGCGAAAAUCAACAACAACGAGGAUCUCACAUCCCAACAACGAGGAUAACAAAACUCUGCAGGUUUAUUAAAUGUUAUGAAUCUUUGAUAUUAAAUUUUAUAUGUGAAACUGCAUCGUGCUCUUGUAUUAUAUUGGAUUUACAGUUCUAAGGGAAAUUAGGGGGGUUUUUCGAAAUGAGUACAAAACAAAACUCUGUGCUUCUGCAGGUAUAUAUAUGUUAUGGAUCUUGAUAUUAAAUUUUAUAUAUGAAACUGCAUGCUGUUGUAUUAUAUUGGAUUUACAGUUCAAAGGUUUUUUUUCGAAAUGAAUACAAAACAAAACUUGAACUCCAAGAAAGAUUAAAGCUAAGCGUCUUAUUCUGAUACAAGGUACCUCCGCCUCCACUUACGUUGCUAAUUAAUCACCUAUUCCAUCACUUAAUCAGUACGCAAUUUUGAUGUAUUUCAUUACUUAACUCAGGAAUUUCUAGAGAAAGAGGAUCGACGAUGUCGGACGAUAUUCGAAAACAGAAAAGGUGUUUAUGAAUGUUGUUGGAGAAACGUAACUUUCAAAGACAAUCCUCAAAUUACAUAAAUGGAAAUCGUUAUACAUCGCUAGUUUGGGGUGGGGGACUCGAGCAUUUCGAGAACCGGACUAAUAAAAUUAUGGCAUUGCAGAUUACGACCAAUUCAAGGUCAUCAGAUAUGUUCAUUGUUAUAUUUUCAAAAUUUCUCUUUGAAUUUAUUAUAAUCGUGUAUGUAUGUAUGAAUGAAUGAAUGAAUUACAUUUACUCCAGGAACAAGGAUCUAUCAGUGAUGCAUACCUGAAGCAUUACGAAUUAGCUCUCGGAUAUCAUAAAUAUGACACUAUAUAUAUAUAUAUAUAUAUAUAUAUAUAUAUAUAUAUAUAUAUAUAUAUAUGGUAAUUCUUGUGCAUUCAAGUUGCUGUUGAGAAUUGAGAUUGUCCACAAAAGCCCAACACUGCUAAUUUUAAAAUUUAAUUUUAGCCCUAAAAUAGUAUUUUUUGUUACAUGUGAACAGAGGAUACUUGAUGGAGGAGAUCAUAAGUGAAAUCGGACGGACGAAAAAGUGUAAUUCUCCCUAGUUUGUAGAAUUUUAAAUGAAAACAUUGUUAUAACGUUGGAAUUUUCAAAUGGGAAUCGGCAGAAUCCGAAAAUUCAGUUCAAGUUUAAUUUCUACCCAUGUGCCACAGAAACUCCAACUUCUCAAUGUUUUUCUGCGUUUCAGAAAUGUUUCGUAUCGAAAACUCGAAAACACCUGUCGGACACCUUAUGGGUCAUUUUGUAAUUAUUAAAAAGUUAGAAACAUGUUUGAAUAGCUAAUUUUCAAAUAUUUUUAUUGCUUCUCAAAUUAUUUACAUCGAUUCAAUGACCAGUUGCAAAAUAAUAGUUUAUAGUAAAAUUUAUUUUCAAUAUAUUUGUGUUUUUUUGGGUGAUUCUCUAGUUUCUUGGAAAGCCAAGAAACAAUCCAUAGUCUCCAGAUCCUCAGCUGGAUCUGAAUAUAGAACUUUAGCAUCCGUGUCUAGUGAAUUGGUUUGGAUCAAUCAUAUUCUUCAAGAUUUUCAGAUUUCAGUUGAUUCCAACUUGGUCUUCUGUGACAAUUUCGCUGCAGUUCAUAUUGACUCCAAUCCAACUUUUUACGAACGCACGAAACACAUUGAGAUCGAUUGCCACUUCAUUCGGAAACAAGUUACUCAUGGUUUUGUCAGACUUAUGCUCGUGCCUAGUCGCGAUCAAAUUACUGAUAUUUUUACCAAAGCACUGCAAUUUCCUCUUUUUUCUCACUUGUUGUCCAAGAUGGCCUUGAAGAACAUUUAUUCUCCAGUUCCAUCUUGAAUGGGAUGUUGGAAUAUUUAUAUUCACAAUUUUAUUUUUGCUAUAACACAAAUAAAAGUGUUAUAUGCUAUUAGCGUUUUUGUUAUUAGUUUAGUAAAUAGCGUUUUCUCUUUUACACGUGUAAAGACAUGUAUACAAACCAACUCUUUGUUACCGUUGGUUAAUUAAUUCCCUUUUAUAAAAAUUAGUUUCUCUUUCUCUCUCUGUAACAAACUCUCCCUCCUUCUGCAACAAUGGAGUUUUCUAUCUCCUUGUAAAAUUCUUCAAUUUAAUACCCUCUGAACUAUAAACCUUUUUACACGUUCACCCUUGUGAUUUCAAAUUUAGUGGAAUUUUCGAGAUUAUAUGAAAUAUUAUCACUUUUGUACCUAUUUUAUCUCAUUCGAACUCUACAUUUUGAAGCAAGAUUAUCAUAAUAUGUGUAUUUUAGCUUGUAUAUAUCAGAUUGUGAUGCAUCAGAAACUCUAUUUUUACACAAAACGAGUACAAACUAGAGCACAUUACACGAAAUCUAGAUGAUUAUGUUGAAUUUGACACCAUAAGGAUGGAGAUGUAAGAAAAAAUCAUAGUUGAGGGGUAGAUAUAAUUAUCCAAAUAAGAGGAAUUUUUUCAUAAAUUGAUCAUACCUCGGGGUGUUUGUAAUUUACCCCAUUUAUAUAUAUAUAUAUAUAUAUAUAUAUAUAUAUAUAUAUAUAUAUACAACAACUUAUUUUAUCCCACAAAAACCUCUCAAUUGAUUUACUAACACUUCACUUUUUUUUUUGUUUUAAUAAUCAUUAUUUUUAUUAAUAAUGAAGAAGUAUAAUAAUUAUAUUUCUUUGACGACAUCUUUAAAAUUAUUUUUUAUGUUUUUUUUUUCUCUAUUAAUUCUCUAAUUUUUCACUUUGAAAUGCUAUUUUAUGUUCGUCCCAGAGAAAAUGCUAGUAAUUGAAGACCCAAUGCAUAAGCCAAAUUUAAUAAUGGGCCCACCAAAUAUCUAAUCUCAUGUAUAGAAAAUUACAGAUCUGUAAUGCAACGGUGAUUUAUGGCUCGUGACGAAUUACAUAUGUGUAACGCAACGGUGAUUUAUGGUUCGUGACGAUUGAGAGCACAUCGGUUGUCAUGUAUUAGAGCGGAUGGUUAUAGCGGUAGAUGGCCAUUGGAGACAGUGGUGUGAGGUUAGUCUACGGUGGGAGGUGGUUGCAUCAAUCUAGGCCUCUUUGAUGGUGCUAGGGUUUUGGUUGGCGGCUAGGAUUUAGUGGAUAGAAGUUGGUGGCGGCUGCAAAUUGUUGGCGGCUAGGGUUUGGCGACGGCUGAGAGUUGUUUUGUGGCUAGGGUUUGGAACAGUAGACCGUAGUAAACUAUAGUAUACUGUAGUAUACUAUAGCACAAGUAUACUAUUGUAUCCCGUAGUAUAUUACACUAGACUAUAGUAUACUAUAGUAUACUACUGUAUUAACAACAGAUGAAAUCAAAAAAAAAAUAUUUAAAAUAUGUAAAUUGAAUUAAAAAAAAUAUAUAUAUAUAUAUUUUUUUUUCGUAAUCUUCAAUAUUACAAAGAGAAAAAAUAAUUUUUUAAUUGUGUAAAAAUUGCUACAAUGAAGAAAUAGAAAGAAAAAGAAAAGGAUAUUAAACGUGUUUUAUAUAAAAAGAAUUAAAAUGUUUGGUUGAAAAAAUUAAAAUAUAUUAAAUACUGACUAAAAAAACAAUAAAUGCAAUUUGAAUUUUAAUUAAUGUAAAUUUCGAAUUUGUGUGUUGGAGGGCAUUUUUGGAAUAAAUUUUAUGAAGGAUGUGUAGCAAAUGUUUAGUUUAGGUUGUCAUUUAGUUCUAAUAAGUUUUGUCACUAGGAACCUAUAUCUUAAGGCCCCUUUUUUCUUUUUGUAAUUAACCAUACCUAGGGGUGGUUGUAAUUUACCCUUAAGAAGUAUAAUAAUUAUACUUUCUUUAACGGCAUCUUUAGAAUUAUUAUUUUGAGUUAAUUGCAUAGAGCCUCCUGUGAAAAGUCUAAUUGCCGGAAAAGUCCUUAUGUUAAAAAAAUUAGCAUUGACCCCCCCUAUAAUGAGUUUUAUUUAGUCUACGGCCCCUUUUAUCAUAUUUUGCUAUUGACUUUGGUGAAAUGACUAAACUACCCUAAUUAAAAUACUAUAGGUAAAAUAUAAUUUUGUUUGUAUAAAAAAACAAGAAAAGAAAAAGAAAAAUAAAAUAAUGAGAGAAAGGGGCUGCAAUUCAUCUUCUUCCUCAACACCACCUGCUAUUCCCACUGGUGAGGCAGAAACUUUUGCUUAUUAUUCUUACUCGGCUCUAAAACACGGUCAACAUCAAAGAGAAACGACGAAUCCGACGGCGGCGGCUGACCCAAAUGUUAUCCAUGGUGCUGAGUUUUCUUCUUUGUAAAUCCCCCGNNNNNNNNNNNNNNNNNNNNNNNNNNNNNNNNNNNNNNNNNNNNNNNNNNNNNNNNNNNNNNNNNNNNNNNNNNNNNNNNNNNNNNNNNNNNNNNNNNNNGUGGCGGUAGGGGGGUGGAGGGAAAAAGCUCGUCAAACAGAAUGAGGAAGAGGCGGUGGACGGUUGCGUGGUCGUAGGAGGGGUGGAAGGAGAAUGGAUGGGAGGAGCGGUGGACAACGGCGAGGAUGCGGUGGAGGCGGGCGAGGGAGCUGCGCAGCCGGUGGAGAUACUGGAUAAAUUAAGAAACCUAGGAUAGAGAAAUUAAAGUGGAAGUGUGUGAAUUUGUGUGUGUUACUACGUGUUUUUUGAUUUCAAUGGGAGAGAGGGCUUUAUUGAAAAUAGCAGGGACUAAAUUGAAACUUUUGAAAAUUUUAUUUUGGUUACAAAAAUAUUGGGGUCAUUCUAUAAUUUUUUAAAUUUCUGAUUUAAAGGGUAUUUAAGUAUUUUCAAGCUGAAAAACACACUCCCACUCACAUAAAUGGCGAGUGUAUUGCACGAUCAUGGGCUAGGGGGUUUAAUGGCUUUGACUAUAUUUCAUAGGGGGGUAAAUGUUAAUACUUUUAACACAGGGACUUUUCCGGCAAUUAGACUUAUCACAGGGGUGCCGCUUGCUAAAAACUCUAUUAUUUUCUAUGUUUUUUUUCCUCUAUUAAUUCUCUAAAUUUUCACUUCGAAACACUAUUUUGUGCAUAAAUAAUUAAUACAUAAUUAAUAAUAACACAACAGGUUAAAGACCGAAGCCCAUGGAGACGGCUUUUGAGAUCCUACACCGGGUGAAAUACACCGGGUAGAUCUUUACCAUUCAUAUACACACAAACAUGCACACACCCACAUUGGUAUGUGUAGAUCAGCGGUUAAAAAUACACCCGGUGUAACCUUCACCGAGUAUAGGAUAGAUAAAACCCAUGGGGACCCAAUACAUAAGCCAAAUUUAAUAAUGGGCCCACCAAAUAUCUAAUCUCAUGUAUAGAAAUUCCUUUAAUUCCCAUAAUUAGAUGUAAAACAUAUUGUAACUUUGACUAUUAGUCCUCUUAAAAUAGAAACACUUUGACUAGUGAAAGCAAAAAGAUAUUCUUAUCAAAAUUUAUCUGGACCAUACAUUCUCAAUCCACGUGAAUUGCAUAAAAUAAGUGGGGCAAUAUAUCUGCAUGCUUCACUGAUUGAAAAUAUUAUUUUUUUUUAUUUUUUCCACGUGACAUAUUUUUAUGUACAUCAAAUUCAAAUUCGAAUUGGAAAUGGGGUCACACAUUUGGCAACACAAACCAAAAGUAAGAUAAGAUCAAUUUGCAAUUUGCAUAGUGGCUGGUCCAUAUAGACCCCGUUAUUUCUAUUCUACAUCCGAUGAAAAUUAUACUGGUUGUCUUUUUAUCAUCGAUCUACAUACAUUAAUAUGUGUAUGUGUUUGUGUGUAUAUGAUCCGUAAAUGCAUAUAUAAAUUAUAUAUAUAUUUAGCAUUUCAUCUUAUUUUAACUAAUCUUAUAUUGACGACCAAAUGAGGUCUUAAAGUACUACAAUAAUAUACUAAAACUAGUAUUUUAAAAAUCGGUCGAGACAGGCGAUUAAUCGGUCUUCGGGAUAGAGGCGGUCUAAAACAUUUAUUAUUUUAGUGUAAAGUUUUGGAAAACUGAGUUUGGCCUAUAACGAAAUUUUAGACGGUUCGAAGUGGUCAAACCGAGUCAAACUUGACAUAUUUUACAACCUUGGCUAGAACCACAAUAGUAGUUAAAGAUAGAUAGAUGUAAGGCCAUUUAAUAAUGGGCCAUAGUCAUAAGCAAAGUAACUUUCAAUGCUGUAAAUAGGACCAAACACUGUCGGCCUCACAUUUGAGACGGAAUACUUUGGGGAUGUUUGGUUUCAUUUCCGAAAUCAAUUUCCACUUCUAUAUCUACUAUUUAUAAAACUGAGAUCAUGUUUGUUUCACAAUUUUAUCCAUAAAAUCUGAUUUUUUUCUUAUCAAAUUUAUAUUGAAAAUACACUAUUCAUACUUUUUCAAUUUUCAAACCUACUAACCAAUAUAUUUUAUUCCAUUAACUCGUUUCUCUCUCCUCAUUAAUAUUGACACACUCUCUCCUCUCAUUUAUCUCUCCUCAUUAAUAUCUACACUAUCUUUCCUCCCAAUUUCUCUAUCUACUACUACUACUAAAAAUAAUAAUAAUAAUAAUAAUAAUAAUAAUAAUAAUAAUAAUAAUAAUAAUAAUAAUAAUCCUCAAUCAUUAUAUUCUACUUUUGCACGUACUUUCCUAGAAAAAAUUCACCAUAAUCAAACAUAUUCCCAUUUCUAUACCUACAUAAAACUAAAAAUACCCAUUCAUCCAAAUAUAUUCUCAUUUUCUACACAAAAACAAAUAAACUACUUUUUCCAUCAGAAAUUUUGAAAACUAGAAAUUCCCAUUGGAAGCAUAACCAAACAUUCCCUUUAUUUCUCAGUUAAUGAGUGGAGCAAUAUAUACACCAUGUGCUUGAAGUUGAUGGUUCACUAAUUGAUUCGUUAUUUAUUUAUUUCACAUCACAUAUUUUUUUGUACAUCAAAACUCAAAAUCCAAAUAUAGAUUUGGAUAAGAUAAUUAAUUUGCAAUUUUCAUAUUAAAUGCUUGAUAACACUAUUACUAUAAUAGUAAAUCAUCCAUAUAUAUAUAUAUAUAUAUAUAUAUAUAUAUAUAUAUAUAUAUAUAUAUAUAUAUAUAUAUAUAUAUAUAUAUAUAAUAAUAAUAAUAAUAAUAGUAAUAAUAAUAAUAAUAUAUAUAUAUAUAUAUUCAUCCUCCACAUAUUUUAGUGGGAAAAUUACAAGCCCCCCAGAUGUAUGGUAAAUUUACAAAAAAAUCCUUCUUCUUUGGAUAAAUACAUCUAUCCCCUCAAAUGUGAUUUUUUCUUACACCUCCACCCUUAUGGUAUUUAAUUCAACAUAAUCAUCUAGAUUUCGUGGAAUGUGCUCUAGUUUGUACUCGUUUGUGUAAAAAUACAGUUCCUGAUGCACUGAUAUAUAUACAAGCCAAAAAACACAUAUUAUGAUCAUUUUGCUUCAAAUGUAGAGUUCGGAUAGGAUAAAAUUGGUACAAAAGUGAUAAUAUUUCAUAUAAUUUCGAAGAUAAUACUAAAUUUGAAACUGUAAGGGUAGACCUGAAAAAAGAUUUAUAGUUAAAGGAUGAUUGUAAUUAUCCAAACAGUAAGGAUUUUCGUAAUUUGACCAUACAUUAAAGGUGGUCGUGAUUUACACUAUUUUAUUUAUAUACAUACAGAUGUGAAUGCAAGAAUCCGAAAUUCAAAAUUAUGCAGCAAUGGCCGCCGUCAACUACUCCCAUUGUUUCAUAAUUUCGGUUCUCUUUUUUCUCUCCUUCCACGCCGACACUGCAUUUUCACAGAGAUGCCACCCAAAUGACAAAAAAGCCCUCCUAGAAAUCAGGAAAUACCUCAACACUCCUCCAAACAGCAACCUCAUCUCUGCGUAGGACCAGGCCUGGAAUCGUUUGCAUCGUCUAUAUACAAAACGAUCUACCUCUCUUGUUAUUCAUCUUAAGGACAAACUCUCUUCGAUUACUCGGGGCACUACCUCUGUGACAAAUUUUCUUCUCUCAAUUAAGAAGAUCGCUGAUGAACUCACCGUUCUUGGAAAUCCUCCGAGUGACGCCGACUUGCUUAUCUACACGACCCGUGGCCUUGGACCAGCCUACAAAGAACUAAUCACGACCCUUCGAACCCGUGACUCAGUGAUUCUUUUUGAAGAACUCUUUGAUAAAAUCAUUGACCAUGAAUCUUUCUUGUUGUAUAAUGAGAAAACUGAUCUUGAACCAACACCACCAACAACCCAUCUUACCACCCACUCACCUAACUUUCGUCAUGCGAAACGAGCUUCUCACCAAGACAUUCUCCCCACUCCCAGCCAUUAUAAACCUCCAAUCUCCACCAACCGUCCAUCACAACUACUGUGCCAAUUUUGUGACAAACGGGGACAUGAGGCAAAGCGUUGUUUCAAGUUAUUUUCCCAUCUCCGAUCGAACAGGCCUUCGGCAAAUCACAGCACAAUGGCUCCAUCCCCUAAUGCUCCUUGGAUUCUCGACUCGGGUGCUUCUCAUCAUGUUACCUCUCAGUUGUCAAAUAUGUCACUACCAAGGUUGUAAAAAGCGGUACUCGGGUCGGAGGUGGUUAGGGACCGACUCACGAUUAAUCGGUGCGGCAGUGAUUAAUCGAUGUUAAAUCGGAAAUAAAUCGGUUUUUAAAAUUUAAUAUAAUAUAUUUGUAGAUAUUAUUUAUAAAUACUCAAAACAUAGAUACAAAAAUAUUUAAACAUAGUUAUAUCUCCAUCAUGUAUAUAUUCUAAUAGCAUAAUAAAAGUUUAAUAAUAAUAAGAUCAUAAUACAUAAAUAUCCUUAUAAAAUAUAAAUAAAAAGGCAAUUUUUUUGGAAUUUACAUACACUCUUGGCAUACAUUAUUAGUUCUUUAACAAUCAUAAUUAACAUAAACAAAAUAAAGUAUAAACUCAUUUUUUUUGUUAUUAAAAUCUCAACUUUUAUUUUGAUUUAUAAAAAAAAUAAAAAACCGAUUUUUUGCCGAUUUUUGCCACCGAAGUUUGACCCGCCUUAAAGGUUUGACCGCCUCAGACCGCCUUGGACCGUCUCACAGGCAAAAAAAACGAUUUUUCAAACCUUUACACUAAAAUCGUAAAGGUUUUGGACCGCCUCCGCCUCGGCGACCGAUUAAUCGGCCGCAUCGGCCGAUUUUUAGAACACUGGUCACUACACCAACCUUACGAGGGCCCCGACGACAUCCAAAUUGGUGAUGGUUCAGGUUUAUCUAUCACUCAUACAGGCUCUACCUCUAUUGCGCCUUCAUUCCAUUUAUCCAAUAUUUUAUGUGUACCAUCUAUUAAACAAAAUCUUAUAUCAGUUGCCAAGUUUUUCCGUUUCAAUAACACUUCUAUUGAAUUCUUUCCAUAUUACUUUGCUGUAAAGGAUUUGCGUACGGGGACAUCUCUGCUCCACGGAAGGAAUCGGCAUGACCUCUAUGAGUGGCCGACAACGACGGACGCAACCACCAGCCCUUCUAAGGCUCUAUCGACUGGCAUUACCUCUUCGACUUCUCCAACAGUCUGGCACGGGCGUCUUGGCCAUCCGUCCCUCCCCAUAAUAAAGUCCCUAGCUACCUCUGGUCUCCUAUCCAUCUCUUCAUCUAUGCCAUUAUCUUUUCAUUGUGAGUCAUGUCUUUGUAAUAAAAGCCAACGAUUACCGUUUGGUGAGUCAACUUUAACUAGCAGUGGUCCUCUUGAUCUUAUUUAUACUGAUGUUUGGAGUCCUUCUCCCAUUCCUUCUGUUGAUGGUUUCUUUUAUUACGUUAUCUUUGUCGAUCACUAUACCACGUAUAUUUGGUUUUAUCCGUUGCGUCUUAAAUCCGUUUUCUAUUUUUCGCAAAUAUAAAAUGCUUGUUGAAAAAUAUUUCAAACGGAGUAUUUCCACCAUCUAUUCUGAUGGGGGUGGUGAAUAUACAACGUUGAAAUCCUUUUUAUCCAAUGAAGGAAUUCAAUACUUAAAAACACCACAUCACACUCCCCAACAUAAUGGUAUAGCUGAACGUCGUCAUAAACAUAUUGUUCAGGCGGGCCUCACUCUCCUCCACCAAGCCAAAAUGCCACAGAAUUAUUGGUCAUAUGCCUUCCAAACAGCAGUUUACCUCAUUAAUCGGCUCCCUACACCUAUUCUUAAUUUAUCCACACCAUAUGAAAAAUUAUUCUCACAUAAGCCAAAUUAUAAUAAGUUGAAGGUCUUUGGUUGUCUGUGUUUUCCUUGGCUAAAACUGUACACCUCGAACAAACUAGAGCCGACCUCCACUCCGUGCUCGUUUAUCGGCUACUCCCUUAAUCAAAGUGCCUAUUAUUGCUUAGAUAUGAAAAGCAAUAAAAUCUACACCUCUCGUCAUGUUCGAUUUAUUGAGUCUAAAUUCCCUUUCUCCAAUUAUGUCUCUUCUACCCAAAUAUUUCCCUCGGUCUCGAGUCCCUGGCCAUCUUUUAUCGCACCAAUUCUGCCGGUACAGCCAGCUGCAACUGACAUUGAUUCUCAGUAACUCAUAGAUGUCAUGCAAACUCUCUCCGUGAGCUCAGGUACUUCUACCUCUUCCUCUUUACAGCAACAUCAUUCUCCCUCACCACCCCUUGACCCGCCUACUACAUCCACAUCUCAUCCCAUGAUUACACGAUCUAAAAAUAACAUAUUCAAACCAAAACGUAUUCUUCAAAUUUCUACCAGACACCCGCUUCCGGAUUCCAUUGAACACACAUGUCUGACCCAAGCAAUGAAGCAAGUUGAGUGGCGGUAGGCCAUGUCGGAUGAGUAAAAUGCUCUCAUUCGCAAUGGGACGUGGGAGCUUGUCCCUCCAUUUACGUCUCAAAAUGUUGUCGGUUGCAAAUGGGUUUUUCGCAUCAAACGCAAUCCGGACAACUCUAUCUCUAAGUAUAAAGCUCUUCUUGUGGCUAAGGGAUUUCAUCAACGUCCGGGUCUUGAUUUUCAUGAGACGUUCAGCCCCGUUGUCAAGCUCACGACAAUUCGAGUUAUUAUUUCAAUAGCAUUAUCUAAUAGCUGGCCACUUCGCCAAUUGGAUGUCAAUAAUGCUUUUCUCCACGGGACAUUAUCUGAGGACGUUUAUAUGCAGCAACCCCCGGGGUAUUUUGAUAAAUCUAAUCCGAAUUUUAAGCAAGCUCCGCGCACAUGGUAUAAUGAGUUGAAAGGUUUUUUGCUCUCGUAUGGGUUUCAUAACUCUCACAGUGAUGCCUCUCUCUUUACUUUUCACAAGGAAUCUAUUACUUGUUUUUUCCUCGUUUAUGUUGAUGAUCUGCUAGUGACAGGCAAUUGCAACAAAUUUUUACACACUUUUCUCUCAGCUUUGGGUGCUCGGUUCUCUAUUAAAGACCUUGGGGAUCUUCAUUUUUUUCUCGGCAUUGAAGUAAUACCAACUCCCUCGGGACUUCUUCUUACUCAACACAAAUAUAUUUGCGAUCUCCUUGAGCGAAAUGACAUGGCUGGUGCUAAAGCUUGCACAACACCCAUGUCAUCGAACCAACCACUUCAUCUUCAUGAUGGAUUUCCUGCUGCUGAUGCUACCAAGUACAGACAAGUCAUUGGUGCGCUUCAAUAUCUAUCUCUUACGAGGCCCGACAUAUCAUAUGCGGUGAACAAGUUGGCGCAAUUUAUGCACUCUCCAUCCGAAGCUCAUUGGACAGCAACCAAAAGACUCUUGCGCUACCUUAAAUUCACCAUCCAUCAUGGUCUCUUCGUAAAAAAGAAUCAGCCACUAGCUUUAACCGCCUUCACCGAUGCUGAUUGGGCCGGCAACCGUGAUGAUCGUACAUCAACUUCAGCCUACAUUGUUUAUUUAGGUGGAAAUGUGAUCUCAUGGUGCUCCAAAAAGCAAAAAACGGUUGCUCGAUCGUCUACGGAAGCGGAAUACCGAGCUCUUGCCUCAUGUGCUGCUGAAAUACUCUGGUUAAAAAAAUCUGCUAUUGGAAGUUCAUGCCACACCUACCUCAGUCCCGACGAUCUUUUGCGACAAUAUCAGAGCAACCUAUCUCUCCGUCAACCCGGUGUUGCACUCACGUAUGAAAUAUAUUGCUAUUGACUAUCACUUUGUACAUAAUCACGUUACCAAAGGGUCCUUUACGGUAUCUCACAUUGCUUCCAAAGACCAGCUCGCGGAUGCUCUCAGAAAGCCGUUGUCAUCCUCUCUCUUUGAUCACAUUCGGUCCAAGAUCGGUAUCUCCAAUGGGAGCACCGUCUUGCGGGGGCGUGUUAGAGAUUAUCCCGCAACAAACUCUUCAGUGGUUUACAAUAUGAAAAACUCUAAUCCUAAAAUCUCUCCAACCUAAACAACUCAAACUUAUCUUCUGUAAAUUCUAGUCUAAGUAUUAAUCCUUUGUAUUUGUAUAUAUAUAAGAGACACACGGUGUAAUCAAAGUAUCAAUGAAAUCUUUUUUCUAUGCACCUUUAUUAUUCUUCACCACGAAACGACUACUGCGACUGGAAUCAAGUGGUCCGAUGCGACGGCGUCACCAAUCGCAUCACCAUCUUCAACCUCCUCCUCGCUGAUCUCAACCGUCUGAUUCCGGCCGCCGUUUUCGACCUCGUAUUCCUCGAAGAACUCUACUUCCACGAAACAAAUCUCACUGGCGGAAUCCCAAGCGCUAUCACGAAACUCUCUCAGCUCAAAUACCUAGAUCUGAGCUUGAACCAUCUUUCCGGCACAAUCCCUACAUUCCUCGGCCACCUCAAAAACCUUGUAUCCAUCGAUUUAUCGUACAACAGAUUCACCGGCUCUAUUCCAACAUAUAUUCAAAUUAUUAUUAUUAUUUUUUUUAUUGUGUGUGCAUUAAAAUUAUCAGGGUAUAGCUAAGAGGCUUAUGGAAUCAGCUGCGGAAAAUAGUAUUUUCCGUUAGAUGUGAACGGCGGAUACUUGAUGGAGGGGACCAAAAGUGAAAUUGGACGGAUGAAAAGGUGUAAUUCUCACUAGUUUUCAAAAUUCGAAAUAAAAACAUUGUUAAAAAGUGGGAAUCGACAUAAUUCAAAAUUCAGUUCAAGUUUAAUUUCAACUUGUGUAACACGGAGACUCCAACUUCUCAUUGUUUUUCCGUAUUUUCGAAACGUUUCGUGUCGAAAACUCGAAAACGCCUGCCGGACACCUUACGAGUCAUUUUACAAUUUUUAAAAAGUUAGAAACAUAUUUGAAUAGCUAAUUUUCAAAUAUUUUUUGUUGCUUCUCAAAUUAUUUAUAUGAUUUAAUGAUGAGUUGCAAAUUAAUAAUUGAUAGUAAAAUUUAUUUUCAAUAUAUUUGUAUAAAAAUAUAUAAAAAGAAUUUGUAUAUACAUAAAAAUUUAUAUAUGUUUAUACAGAAUAUCUAUAAAUACACCCCUAUACUUUUAAUAUUUACACGUUUCUCCUAAAUUCACGUUUCCCCAUUUUCGGAAAACCCCGUUUCCCCGUAUCACAGUUUCUGUGUCCGUACCACAUAGAGAGUCCAUAUGCUACCCCUUAUAUAAACCUCAACUAGUGGCAUGCAUUAUAAACUCAUCUCUCUUCUAUCCAAAAAUCAUGGCCACUAUUUCCGGCCAUUCUCUCAUACUUUUGCUAAUUCUCUUCUUCUCCUUCAACUCUUUGGCAUUUUCAAAGAGGUGCCAUGCAAAUGACAAAAAAGCCCUCCUACAAAUCAAGAAAGACCUCAACAAUCCCUAUGAUUUAAUCUCAUGGGAUCCGACCACCGACUGCUGCACCUGGUCCUCGGUGGACUGCGACGACAAAACCAACCGCAUCACCCGAUUCGACACCUCCGCCGCCAAUUUCGGCCUCCCCAUUCCGGCGGCCAUCGGAGACCUCAAGUAUCUCGAAAGCCUCGCUUUCCACAAAGUCAACGUCACCGGUCAAAUCCCGGAAUCCAUAACCAAGCUCACCAACCUCAAAUCUCUCGAUCUCCAGUGGAACUCUCUCACCGGCCCUGUUCCGUCGUUCCUCAGCAAACUCAAGAAGCUGACGUACAUUGGGCUGUCGUUCAACAGCUUCUCCGGCACGAUUCCGGCGUCGCUCUCCCAGCUCCCGAACCUCGGCGGCCUCGGUUUGGACCGGAACAAACUCACCGGCUCAAUCCCGGAAUCUUUCGCCGAUUUCCGGCAGCAGGAUUUCUACCUCUACCUCUCACAUAAUCAGCUGACGGGGAAUAUUCCGGCGAGAUUGGGGCACGCCAACUUCACGUGGAUCGAUGUAUCAAGAAACAGGCUUGAAGGUGACAUAUCGUUCUUGUUCGGGAAGAACAAGAGCUUAAACACCGCCGAUUUUUCGAGGAACAUGUUUCAGUUCGAUUUCUCCAAGGUGGAGUUUUCGGAGAGCUUGAGGAAUCUGGAUCUGAACCACAACAGGAUUACGGGGAGAUUGCCGGAGGGAUUGGCUAAGAUGGGUGAUCUUAUUUCUCUGAACGUGAGUUACAAUCGGCUUUGCGGCAAGAUUCCGGUGGGCGGGAGUUUGCAGAGGUUUGAAACGACGUCGUAUUUCCACAACAAGUGCUUGUGUGGUGCCCCGUUGCCGAAAUGCAAAUGAUUUUAUUAUUAUUAUUAUUAUGGAAUAUUCCUGCAAAUUAGUAUUAUAUUGCAGAUGCAUUUGCGGCGCUUAAAUUAUUAAUUAAUUGUAAUCUUCAUAACAUGUUAUGAAUUUGAAAUAAAUUUUAAGCCCUUAAAUUAUUAAUUGCAAUCUUAGUGAUAUUAUCAAUCUAAAUUAAAAAUUGGGUAAAAUUCAUUUUACCUACCUGAACUAUACCCAACGUAUAAAAUACAUCCCUGAACUUCAAAAUGUAUCAAACCAGCCCCUCCGUUAAAAAUCCAUCCACCUCUGCUGACAUGGCACAUUGACUUUUAAAAUUAUAUCCAGUGGCAUGACAAGUGGCUUUUUCCGGACAAUUUUACCCCUGCAGUACUUUCAUAUAUGGUCUAAUUAGAGGGGUUUUUGUGAAUCAGUUAAUGCAAUUAAAUAUUUAAUUUUUAUUUUUCCUCAAAUAAAUAAAUAAUUAAAAUAAACUGUGAAUCAAUAUUUAGUUUUUAUUUGUGACUUUUUUUUUUGAGUAAAAAAGUAAAGUAAUCUAAUUAAAUGAAAAAACACAAUAUAAUUAAAAGAAGUCCUAAUCCAAUUAGCUUGGUCAGACCCUCCUAAUGGACUCAUCUCCUUCGCAGCUGCACCAUAUCACGACCCAAUUUGAAUUCUUCAAGAUUCAAAUUCCUGGAGAACACAAGAAACGAAUUCGGAGGAAAACCAAAGAGAAACCCAAUACAAAUCCCUUUUAAAAAGGUCACAAAAUCAGAAAUUGGGGCACACAAGAAACGGGUUGAUGUUUUCGUCGGAUUCCGCCGACAUCUUGGCCGUGUAGGGCGGAGCGAAGUCGGAGCUGCGCUGGUUUCGCAACGAAGAGUUCAAAUUUCUUCUGGAUUUCAUUUUUUUCCGGUCGCCACCGCCAACGGAAACCCAAAUAGGGGUUUGUGAGAAGCUUGACCUCCCGCCGGAAAAACAUGAGCUAAUCCUUAAUUUCAGAUGUGUGAAAGUAGGUUUUAUUGUUUUAUGGGUCAUGGUACUAGAGAGAGAAGAGGAACAAUGGUGAUGUGUUUGAUGAACAUCACUUCUGUAGAAAGAAAGAAAAGGGACGAAGAAGAAAGAAAGAAAAUGAAGGAUGAGGGAGAAAAAGUUGGAGAGAUAAUAUGACUGGACAAAAAUGUAAAAACACAUAAAAAACUAACGGAGUUAAAAAUUGUAACGGUUUUAACGUUGACUCAAAAUUCAGAGGGACUAUCUUGGUUCAUUUCAAAGUUCAGGGGGGGUAUUUUAUACGUUGGAUAUAGUUCAGGUAGGUAAAAUGAACUUUACCCUUAAAAAUUUAAAGUACACGUGAAAUAAUAAAAAGAUUUGCAUGUAUUAUUGCAUUAUGGCACGUGAAACUAACCCUAAGAUAUUUUUGUAAUAUUAUUUUAAAAAAGUUUUUCUUUCAUUUUUUUAUAUUCCACCUAAUCAUAUUUUUUUGGGUAAGUUACAACUAUACCUGAGGUAUGGUUAAAUUAUAAGAAACACCCUCUUGUUUGGGUAUUUACAACCACCCCUUCAACUAUAAAUCUUCUUAUACGUCCACCCCUGCGGUUUCAAAUUUAGUGAAAUCUUCAAGAUUAUAUGGAAUAUUAUCUUCGAGGUGUAAGAAAAAAUCAUAGUUGAGGGGAGUAGAUGUAAUUAUCCAAACAAGAGAGGUUUUUUCAUAAAUUGACCAUACCUCAGGGGUGUUUGUAAUUUACCCUAUUUUUUUUUUAUAUAUCUACAACAACUUAUUUUAUCCCACAAAAAUCUCUCAAUUAAUUUACUAACACUUCACUUUUUUGUUAAUGAAGAAGUAUAAUAUUUAUACUUUCUUUCACGACAUCUUUUGAAUUAUUAUUUUUGUAUGUUUUUUUUUCUCUAUUAAUUCUCUAAUUUUUCACUUUGAAAGCUAUUUUAUGCAUCGUCUCCGGAGAAAAUGCUAGUAAUUGGAGACCCAAUACAUAAGCCAAAUUUAAUAAUGGGGCCCAUCAAAUAUCUAAUCUCAUGUAUAUAAAUUCCCAUAAUUAAAUGUAAACAUAUUGUAACUUUGACUAUUAGUCCUCUUAAAAUAGAAACACUUUGACAGUUUGACUAGUGAAAGCAAAAAGAUAUUUUUAUCAAAAUUUAUUUGGACCAUACAUUCUCAAUCCACGUGAAUUGCAUAAAGUUUCUUUCUUGUACUCAAAUAAUGAGUGGGGCAAUAUAUCUGCAUGCUUCACUGAUUGAAAAUAUUAUUUUUUUAUUCUUUCCACGUGACAUAUUUUUAUGUACAUCAAAUUCAAAUUCGAAUUGGAAAUGGGGUCACACAUUUGGCAACACAAACCAAAAGUAGGAUAAGAUCAAUUUUGCAAUUUGCAUAGUGGAUGGUCCUUUUACUUAGUUAUUUCUAUGUUACACCCGAUGAAGACUACAUUGAGUGUCUUUUAUCGUUGAUUUAAACAUACUAAUACGAGUGUGUGUGAUUUCUGUCUCAGAGGGUUCUCAGAUGAAUUACCUUGUGCAAGAGGAGCUUUCCCAUUACUUCCAUUGACUGCUUUCACCAAUUCUCCAACUAAUUUGGUCAGAUCUUCAAUUUUUUGAUUAGUCUCUACUCUGUUUCUAGUCAUUUAUGUGUGCAAAUUUGACAACAUCUCUCCUAUUUCACUCUGUAUCUUUUUGUUGAAUGCUAAUUGCUCAUCCAGAUAGACUUCUGCAUCAAAUCUGGUGUUGUCUCCAGAUCCCGUUCUGACAUGACUCCUUGUCAUCAUUCCUAGCUCCUCGCCAGAAACGAUGGCUCUAGAUACCAAUUGUUAUGAUUUCUUCCUCUUGAUGAAUCAUGAAGCUUGAAAUUUACCUGCAAAUGUGAAAUAUGAUGGAUAUGAUAGGGUGAGAAGAAUGAUACUGGCGGCGGUUCUUUAGGCUUAGGUAGAGAUUUCUAGCAAAAGAAACUACACUAUAUUAACCUAAAAGUUACCAGCAAAUUGACGAAAAAAUGGCAGGCUCCUCUCUUGUCUUUUUAUACUGCAAAAGCAGGUGAGAAGAGAGGGGUUCAGGAGUGCUCCUCCUCAUGCAAAGUUGGUGAGCUGCCUCGGUGUAUGAAACGGUGCCGUUUCCCCAUUAUUCAAGCUGAAGUAAUAAAACGUGAAAUAAUAUAAAACGUGUCCACGCUUCUAUGAGUUGAACGACGUCGUUUAUUCCUACGGUAAUUCAAAAUACCGUUUAUUCUGUUACAACGUGUUAUUAUUCUGAUACAAGGUACCUCCGGAGGCGCCAGUAGUGUCGUGAAUUGUCAUUGGAUGAGGAUCAUACAUUAUAGGCAGAUUGAAAUCGGUGGAAAUGCUGCCUUUGUCGGAAUCUACGGCACCGCCUCCUCCACUUAAUAUACGUUGCUAAUUAAUCACCUAUUCUACCACUUAAUCAGUACGUAAUUCAUAGUACGCAAUAAUUUUGAUGUAUUUCAUUACUUAACUCAGGAAUUUCUAGAGAAAGAUGUCGGACGAUAUUCAAACGUAACUUUCAAAGACAAUCCUCAAAUUAUUUACAUCGAUUUAAUGACCAGUUGCAAAUUAAUAAUUUAUAGUAAAAUUUAUUUUCAAUAUAUUUGUAUAAAAAUAUAUAAAAAGAAUUUAUAUAUACAUAAAAAUUUAUAAAUGUUUAUACAGAAUAUUUACACUUUCCCCUAAGUUCACGUAUCCCCAUUUUCGAAAAACCCCGUUUCCGCGUAUCACCGUUUCUGUAUCCGUACUACAUAGACAGUCCAUAUCCUACCCCUUAUAUAAACCUCAACUAGUGGCAUGCAUUAUACACUCAUCUCUCUUCUAUCCAAAAAUCAUGGCCACUAUCUCCGGCCAUUGUCUCAUACUUUUGCUAAUUCUCUUCUUCUUCUCCUUCAACUCUUUGGCAUUUUCAAAGAAAUGCCAUCCAAAUGACAAAAAAGCCCUCCUACAAAUCAAGAAAGACCUCAACAAUCCCUACGAGUUAAUCUCAUGGAAUCCGACCACCGACUGCUGCACCUGGUCCAUGGUGGACUGCGACGAAAAAACCAACCGCAUCACCCGAUUCGACACCUCCGACGCCAAUUUCGGCCUCCCCAUUCCGGCGGCCAUCGGAGACCUCAAGUAUCUCGAAAACCUCGCCUUCCACAAAGUCAACGCCACCGGUCAAAUCCCGGAAUCCAUAACCAAACUCACCAACCUCAAAUUUCUCGAUCUCCGGUGGAACUCUCUCACCGGCCCUGUUCCGUCGUUCCUCAGCAAACUCAAGAAGCUGACGUACAUUGGGCUGUCGUUCAACAGCUUCUCCGGCACGAUUCCGGCGUCGCUCUCCCAGCUCCCGAAC
This 28992-nucleotide long non-coding RNA is filed under the name Erythranthe guttata (spotted monkey flower). RNAcentral's name for it is "long non-coding RNA (EGUT_LNC000831)". Lineage: Eukaryota; Viridiplantae; Streptophyta; Magnoliopsida; Lamiales; Phrymaceae. The record is from RNAcentral.